RNAcentral lists this ribosomal RNA (1166 nucleotides) under Campylobacter jejuni. RNAcentral's name for it is "bacterial SSU rRNA". It matches the Rfam family "Bacterial small subunit ribosomal RNA", at positions 350 to 1533 of the family's 1533-position model. The record is from RNAcentral. Lineage: Bacteria; Pseudomonadati; Campylobacterota; Epsilonproteobacteria; Campylobacterales; Campylobacteraceae.
AGCAGUAGGGAAUAUUGCGCAAUGGGGGAAACCCUGACGCAGCAACGCCGCGUGGAGGAUGACACUUUUCGGAGCGUAAACUCCUUUUCUUAGGGAAGAAUUCUGACGGUACCUAAGGAAUAAGCACCGGCUAACUCCGUGCCAGCAGCCGCGGUAAUACGGAGGGUGCAAGCGUUACUCGGAAUCACUGGGCGUAAAGGGCGCGUAGGCGGAUUAUCAAGUCUCUUGUGAAAUCUAAUGGCUUAACCAUUAAACUGCUUGGGAAACUGAUAGUCUAGAGUGAGGGAGAGGUAGAUGGAAUUGGUGGUGUAGGGGUAAAAUCCGUAGAUAUCACCAAGAAUACCCAUUGCGAAGGCGAUCUGCUGGAACUCAACUGACGCUAAGGCGCGAAAGCGUGGGGAGCAAACAGGAUUAGAUACCCUGGUAGUCCACGCCCUAAACGAUGUACACUAGUUGUUGGGAUGCUAGUCAUCUCAGUAAUGCAGCUAACGCAUUAAGUGUACCGCCUGGGGAGUACGGUCGCAAGAUUAAAACUCAAAGGAAUAGACGGGGACCCGCACAAGCGGUGGAGCAUGUGGUUUAAUUCGAAGAUACGCGAAGAACCUUACCUGGGCUUGAUAUCCUAAGAACCUUAUAGAGAUAUGAGGGUGCUAGCUUGCUAGAACUUAGAGACAGGUGCUGCACGGCUGUCGUCAGCUCGUGUCGUGAGAUGUUGGGUUAAGUCCCGCAACGAGCGCAACCCACGUAUUUAGUUGCUAACGGUUCGGCCGAGCACUCUAAAUAGACUGCCUUCGUAAGGAGGAGGAAGGUGUGGACGACGUCAAGUCAUCAUGGCCCUUAUGCCCAGGGCGACACACGUGCUACAAUGGCAUAUACAAUGAGACGCAAUACCGCGAGGUGGAGCAAAUCUAUAAAAUAUGUCCCAGUUCGGAUUGUUCUCUGCAACUCGAGAGCAUGAAGCCGGAAUCGCUAGUAAUCGUAGAUCAGCCAUGCUACGGUGAAUACGUUCCCGGGUCUUGUACUCACCGCCCGUCACACCAUGGGAGUUGAUUUCACUCGAAGCCGGAAUACUAAACUAGUUACCGUCCACAGUGGAAUCAGCGACUGGGGUGAAGUCGUAACAAGGUAACCGUAGGAGAACCUGCGGUUGGAUCACCUCCUUUCUA